UACAGAGGGUGCGAGCGUUAAUCGGAAUUACUGGGCGUAAAGCGUGCGUAGACGGUUAUUUAAGUCGGGUGUGAAAGCCCCGGGCUCAACCUGGGAAUUGCAUUCGAGACUGAAUAGCUAGGGUACGGUAAAGGGAAGCGGAAUUUCCGGUGUAGCGGUGAAAUGCGUAGAUAUCGGAAGGAACAUCAGUGGCGAAAGCGGCUUCCUGGACCAGUACCGACGUUCAGGCACGAAAGCGUGGGGAGCAAACAGG
This 253-nucleotide ribosomal RNA is filed under the name uncultured bacterium. RNAcentral's name for it is "partial 16S ribosomal RNA". It matches the Rfam family "Bacterial small subunit ribosomal RNA", at positions 524 to 776 of the family's 1533-position model. The record is from RNAcentral.